UGGGGGGAGGGGGGAAGUUGUGGGGUGGGGGGAAUGGUAAUUACAGGAAUUCAAAUGUUUCAGGGAGUAUUUGGACGUUUAAAUGAAUAGAAUCAACCACAGGCCAACCCUCAGGAACCCCCACGUCCAGCAUGUCACCAGUUUUCCCAGGCAGCCUCUCGAAGACGAGAUGUGUCAACAACAUCUCCCCAGGUCGGGGCAUAAAAUACUGAUGUCCUGGAUCUCAGAUACUUUUCUCAUUCUCUUCUACCUGAUGUCAUCUACUACCCUUGCUGGAAAUCAGGAAAUGAAGCAAACACCGAGGAAGAAACUGCAAAAUAAUAUUUUUCUGAUGUUUUCAGGGUCCAUAGUACCUUGUAUUUCUAGAGAUGACAAUUAUGAUAACAUUGUGAAAACUCUUAUGUGUGAAAAAAUUAUUUUUCUUCUUCCUAUGACAUUUGUUUCAACAUUGUCAAAAUGCAAAAUCCGAGGCUCCAUAUUUUGA
Molecule: long non-coding RNA, 484 nt
Filed under: Parus major (Great Tit)
Lineage: Eukaryota; Metazoa; Chordata; Aves; Passeriformes; Paridae
Description: lncRNA (ENSPMJG00000013106.1)
Source: RNAcentral